Molecule: ribosomal RNA, 430 nt
Filed under: uncultured bacterium
Lineage: Bacteria
Description: bacterial SSU rRNA
Rfam family: Bacterial small subunit ribosomal RNA
Source: RNAcentral
CGAACGCUGGCGGCAUGCCUAACACAUGCAAGUCGAACGAGACCUUCGGGUCUAGUGGCGCACGGGUGCGUAACGCGUGGGAAUCUGCCCUCCGGUUCGGAAUAACUCAGGGAAACUUGAGCUAAUACCGGAUAAUGACUUCGGUCCAAAGAUUUAUCGCCGAGGGAUGAGCCCGCGUAGGAUUAGCUAGUUGGUGAGGUAAAGGCUCACCAAGGCGACGAUCCUUAGCUGGUCUGAGAGGAUGAUCAGCCACACUGGGACUGAGACACGGCCCAGACUCCUACGGGAGGCAGCAGUGGGGAAUAUUGGACAAUGGGCGAAAGCCUGAUCCAGCCAUGCCGCGUGAGUGAUGAAGGCCUUAGGGUUGUAAAGCUCUUUUGCCGGGGACGAUAAUGACGGUACCCGGAGAAGAAGUCCCGGCUAACUUCGU